AUUGUGACAAGGCCAGGGUGUACCGUGCCACUUUAUCUGUGAUUGGCAGCAGCUCACCGACGAAGGGCAAGUGCUCUGGAAAAUUGAUGGACGGAUGACUAAUGGAACAAAUACGGAGUUGCAAUGUAUUGAUUAACCUUGAGGUCCUUGGUGAUAGAACCGAGGAUGCGAGAACGCGAACAGUCUGUGCGGAGCAGCAUUUGAGUAUUAUGCAAAAGCAAAGUUGUGUCCAGCAGGGGGCAGCAGAGUACCUUUCAACCUUGGAUGUGCGCUUAGAUGUUGGAAUGUGUGUGAGAAUUCAUAUGGUCGGAGAGCACAGUUGCUAGAUAGAUAGUAAGAAGACACAGCAUCUUUCAGUGGGUCCACAAUAGCAGCUUUCAGACUUUAUGUGGCCCACAUUAAGAAGGCAUACAGUGCACUACAGUGAAGGGGUCAGAGCUCAGGGGUGAAAUGUCCUUGGAGCGACAAUUUCUUUUUUGUUGUUGUUGAUGAAGUUCUCUCUAUCUACGGGUCAUUCCAGAAUUGGAGGACAUUUUAUAGCCCAACCAUCAAAUUUUAAAUGAUCCACAUACAAAAUAUUAAAGCGUGCAGUUUCUGGGUACCGGUACAUUUACUUCUCCUGAGACCAAAUCUAAAAAUAAAUAAAUAAAUAAAAACACAGAAAAUAAUGCUUUAAAAUAGUUUUAAAAAAUACCUAAUAAACCCAGAGUACAGAAUAAAAUGCCAUUUGUCUCUUUAUUGCCCAGAAAAGUGAAAGAAUAUUUUUCAAGAAUUUUGAAGCCAAAUUGAUUCAUUAGAAUAGUAGAUAGGUCAGAUUUCCUCUUGUAGAGUUUUAUGAUGACUGGCAAGAUACUUUGAUUCUCUCCUCUUUCAUUUAGAACAGUGGUCACCAACGUUGUUACACGCGGGCACCAGGUGGCCCGUGAGGACCACACCAAUAGCCCACCAGUGCUAGGAUUGUGAUUUGCUAGUGGAAAUUAUAAUUUAAAAAUGGAAACACGGGCAAUAUUGUGAGACAUCUUUAAGAUGAUCAGAGCCUGAAAAUUAAAAUCAUUAAGUAUUAAAAAUAACACAUUCUAAUAUUAAAUGUAAUUUGUAUAAAUGUUAUUUCAGACGUGUAUCAAUUUGGUAGCCCUUCACACAAUCAGGACAUAUGAAGUAGCUCUCACUCUCAAAAACGUUGGUGACCCCUGCUCUAGAACUUCUUUAAACGACAAAGGGUAUGAGGGAAACGUGGUUAAGAUAGCACGACUCUGUCAAACUAACUAACUAACCAACUAACUAACUAACUAACUAACUAACUAACUAACUAACUAACUAACUAACUAACUAACUAACUAACUAACUAACUAACUAAUCUAGUAGAUCCAAGCAUGGGUUGACUGUCCACACUGUUUUUAGCAAGUCUCCAAAUGGAAUUUGGCCCCGUUCAGACUGGGCCACAUAACUGACCCAUCUGACAGGUUGCUGUAGCAAUGACGACGGAACAGAGGAAUCGUCCAGCACAUGUAGCGUUUGACGUCACCGCUCCGUACUUCAAUUGGCACAAGGGGUGUGCUGUUUUGUGAAUUUCGGGAAAUAGUUAUUUUUCUUGAAUAGUCUCUAUCUGAGGAGUUUGAACCACUGUUGUUGUAGUUGUUCAAAGAUUGGUGUUGAGUUGACCUUGAAGAUUUCGGCAACGGCUAGCAGCUACCUUGCCCACGCUCACGCUCACCCGAUCGAUAUAUUCUUGAUUGGUGACUUGAUGUGCACUGGGUAAAAUGAAACAGGUCCGUAGGCUGAGAAAAAAAAGUGCUUGGCUAUCGUCAAGGAGCAACAGCUAAGUUUAGCCCGGAAUCCAGAACAACUGGCUUGUCUUUCACACCCAGCGACACUCAAGUAAAUGUCCACACAGUGACAACAAAUACAUAAAAAUUAAGAAAUUACAGACAUUUAAAUUUGCAGAAAACGUCUCUGGUUGGGAGACUGAAUCCUCGAAAUAUUCCAGUAUUGGUACAAUUUGGAGUGCAACCACAGUUGUCUGAAAAAAUAUGAAAUCUGUUUGCGCAUCACCCGUGAAUGUUCCGAGAAGCACUUUACGUGUGCUCCAAACUCUGAUUGUAUGGGAAAAAAAUGAUAAAUUGUCUUAUUUAAUACAAAUCUGUAUACAGAUAUGUUAUGAAUGCCCGUUCACAGAGGGAAUGAUGCAUUAAAACGAUUAAAGUGCAAGGAGAGAGCAAAACGUGAACAUGUUCUCAUUUUUCUGCUUUGCUAAGAUCUGCCUUGGGAGAUCGACAGCUUCAUACACACCAAAAUAAACAAGAACAGCAGGCGAUAAGAAAAACAACAGUGGGGAGUCAGCUGCUAAGCAUGCAAGAUGUCAUGAUACAUGAAUAUACUUGCGAAAACACACAGAGCGGCUGGAUAGAUAGUUUGGGUAGAUCAUUCAUACUCGUAGGUCAUAGCAGGACAGUGAAGGUGAUAAUAUAGCGUUUCUUGAGAUCAAAAAUGUUGAUGACAUGCUGGCUACAUGUGGUGAUUAUCCUCAGUGUGCACAAACACCGUUUAAUGUGUCAUUCUUAAACCUCGACACUGGAUAUUACUAUUGCGUUUAGAUAAAAUUCUACUCUUAAUCAUAAAUAAAAAAUUGAGUAACUAGCUAGUAGAUCGAAUGGUGAACCCUAGUUACUAGCUAAAAUGCUAUCUCUUUACAAAUUGUCUCUACUAGUUAUUUUUCCAACAUCAGAUGAUAGGUUGGAGGAUGAUCUAUACCAUACUGAAAAAGAAAAAUAAAUAUUAAAAAAGACAGGGACGCACAGAUUUGUACUAUAAUUUGCUACUUGCGUUGAACCAUGUGGUUUUUAAUGUCAUGCGAUUUAUUGAUGGAUUUUUACUGACAAGAUCCACGCUAUCAGUAGAAUUAGCCUCCACACUUCUGAACAAUCGAUCUCUCUCUUUCUCUUCAUUCCCCCUGCC
This is a long non-coding RNA of Hippocampus zosterae (dwarf seahorse), 2955 nucleotides long. RefSeq lists it as uncharacterized. The record is from RefSeq and is a predicted model, not a curated record. The transcript is spliced from 3 exons. Lineage: Eukaryota; Metazoa; Chordata; Actinopteri; Syngnathiformes; Syngnathidae.